Molecule: ribosomal RNA, 109 nt
Filed under: Candidatus Magasanikiibacteriota bacterium
Lineage: Bacteria; Candidatus Magasanikiibacteriota
Source: RNAcentral
CUUGGUGGCUUUAAGCGAAGGGGUCACACCCGAUCCCAUCCCGAACUCGGCAGUUAAGCCCUUCUGCGCUGAUGAUAGCCCAAGUGGCAAAAGUAGGCCGCCGCCAGGA